AGAAUCAACGCUGGCGGCGUGCCUAACACAUGCAAGUCGAACGAGAAAGUGGAGCAAUCCAUGAGUAAAGUGGCGCACGGGUGAGUAACACGUGACUAACCUACCCUUGAGUGGGGGAUAACCUAGAGAAAUCUGGGCUAAUACCGCAUAAUACCUUCGGGUCAAAGGAGCAAUUCGCUUAAGGAGGGGGUCGCGGCCGAUUAGUUAGUUGGCGGGGUAAUGGCCCACCAAGACUGUGAUCGGUAUCCGGCCUGAGAGGGCGCACGGACACACUGGAACUGAAACACGGUCCAGACUCCUACGGGAGGCAGCAGUGGGAAUUUUGCGCAAUGGGGGAAACCCUGACGCAGCAACGCCGCGUGGAGGAUGAACGCCCUUGGGGCGUAAACUCCUUUCGAUCGGGAAGAUAAUGACGGUACCGAGAGAAGAAGCCCCGGCUAACGUUCGUGCCAGCAGCCGC
RNAcentral lists this ribosomal RNA (460 nucleotides) under uncultured bacterium. RNAcentral's name for it is "SSU rRNA". It matches the Rfam family "Bacterial small subunit ribosomal RNA", at positions 26 to 518 of the family's 1533-position model. The record is from RNAcentral.